RNAcentral lists this unclassified non-coding RNA (356 nucleotides) under Hevea brasiliensis (rubber tree). The record is from RNAcentral. Lineage: Eukaryota; Viridiplantae; Streptophyta; Magnoliopsida; Malpighiales; Euphorbiaceae.
CGCGCAGCGCCGGCUGCUGAUCCAGUAUCCAAAGCGCCAGGUCGGCAACAAGAUGUUUGAGGGCCAGUCCUCGCAUCUGCCGCUCAAGCUCAACACCGCGGGCGUCAUUCCGCCGAUCUUCGCGUCGUCGCUGCUGCUGCUGCCGACCACGAUCGCGAGCUUCAACGCCGGCAAGGGCCCUGAGUGGUUCCAGUGGCUGGCGACGCAGCUCAGCCACCGCCGCCCCCCNNNNNNNNAUCUCGCGAUGAUCGUGUUCUUCGCGUUCUUCUAUACGGCGAUCGUGUUCAACCCGACGGAGACCGCCGACAAUCUCAAGAAGCAUGGCGGCUUCAUUCCCGGCAUUCGUCCCGGUGAGC